Coffea arabica (coffee) is the source of this 5917-nucleotide non-coding RNA. The record is from RefSeq and is a predicted model, not a curated record. NCBI's taxonomy places the organism in Eukaryota, Viridiplantae, Streptophyta, Magnoliopsida, Gentianales, Rubiaceae.
UCAUGUCGAGUUGGGCCACCGCAGUUUAGUACCACCACUACUCUUUUUCUUUCGUCAUUCCCCUGGUAACCUUCUCCUUCCCUGAAGCAUUCUCAGUAGCCCUUCGCGUUCUUCUUCUUCCUUAUGCAAGCUACACUCGUGCUUCUCAUUCACCCUCUUUUUCUACCUGCUGCUCUUUUAAGGGUCUUGAAGGGGACAAGUUUCAACUAGAGAUUUUGUAUGCAGUCACCGAUUUUGGAGUCUCCGACUUGUAGGGUAUCGUUAUCAGAAUGGCCUGCCAAGUUUCGAUGAUGAAUUUUUGAAGCAUGGUUAAAAGAGAAAUUCAGUGCGUUGAUUAUUUUGCAGAGAUUUUAUUUAAAGCUGAAAAGUGCAAGAAUGAUGGCACUUUUUGCGAGCCUAGGAUUAAUGUUUCAGUCUGCCUCAAGAUGCUUUCGUGUGAUUGCCUCUUACAGAAGCUUGUCAUUUUCAAGUAAUGGACCUUGCAAUCAGGAUGGUGGAUCAGCUUCUUUUGGAAAUGGGGUUAACCAAGAAUAUUUGGGAAAAUCAGAGGGUAUAUGGCAAGAAGCGGACAGAGUGUGCCUGAUCCUGGAGAGUGGAUCUUGGGGGCCUUCAGUUGAAAAUGCUUUAUCUACGUAUGAUGAAAAACGUCAUUCAGAACUAGUUAUUGGAGUCUUAAGGAGGCUGAAAGAUGUUCAACAAGCACUAAACUAUUUUCGGUGGGUUGAGAAGAAAACUGACGAAGCGCAUUGUCCUGAGGCAUACAAUAUGCUUCUCAUGGUAAUCGUGAAGAGUAAGAGGUUUGAUCAUGUGGAACAAAUUUUGGAAGAGAUGGGUCUUGCUGGGUAUGGCCCAUCCAACAGUACCUGUAUUCAGCUAAUAGAUAGCUAUGUCAAGACUCGAAAAUUAAGGGGAGCAUUUGAUUGUAUUCAGACAAUGAGGAAGUUAAAGUUUCGCCCUGCAUUUUCAGCUUACACUACCCUAAUUGGUGCCCUAUGUACUGUUAAUGAACCUGAUCUUAUGCGGGCACUCUUUCUUCAGAUGCAAGAAUUAGGUUAUGAAGUGAGUGUUCAUUUAUUUACAACUCUUAUACGAGUAUUUGCCAGGGAAGGUCGAGUUGAUGCUGCUCUCUCGCUUUUGGAGGAGAUGAAAAGCAACUCAUUGGAUGCAGACAUUGUUCUCUAUAAUGUGUGUAUAAACUGCUUUGGCAAGGUGGGUAAGGUGGAUAUGGCUUGGAAGUUUUUUCAUGAGAUGCAAGCUAAUGGAUUCGUACCUGAUGAAGUUACAUAUACGAGUAUGAUUGGUGUUCUCUGCAAGGGUAACAGACUGGAUGAAGCUGUGCACCUGUUUGAACAGAUGGAGCAGAAUAGGGCAGUCCCAUGCGCAUAUGCUUAUAGCACUAUGAUCAUGGGAUAUGGAUCUGCUGGAAAGUUUGAUGAAGCAUAUAGGUUACUUGAAAGGCAAAGGUUAAAGGGAUCCAUACCAAGUGUAAUUUCAUACAAUUCUCUUCUAACCUGCCUUGGGAAGAAGGGAAAAGUUGAUGACGCAUUAAGGAUCUUUGAGGAGAUGAAAAAAGAUGCAGCACCUAAUCGCACAACUUAUAAUAUCAUCAUUGACAUGCUUUGCAGGGAAGGACAGUACAUGGCUGCUUUAGACGUUCGAGAUGCCAUGAAAUUUUCAGGCUUGUUUCCCAAUGUAUUGACUGUAAAUAUAAUGAUUGACCGUUUGUGUAAGGCUCAGAAACUUGAUGAAGCUUGUUUUAUUUUUGAAGAAAUGGACCACAAACUUUGUAUGCCAGAUACAAGGACAUUUUGCUCUCUUAUAGAUGGCUUGGGUAGGCAUGGCAGGGUAGAUGAUGCAUACAGGUUAUAUGAGCAGAUGUUAGAUUCUGAUCGGGCUCCUGAUGCUGUUGUUUAUACAUCCUUGAUUAAGAACUUUUUCAGGUCUGGAAGGAAGGAAGAUGGGCACAAGAUUUACAAAGAAAUGGUUUCUAGAGGUGUUGCCCCUGAUCUUUUGCUCCUUAACACCUAUAUGGAUUGUGUAUUCAAAGCUGGUGAGACAGAGAAAGGCAGAGCUUUGUUUCAGGAAAUUAAGAAUCUGGGUUUUACUCCAGAUGUGCGGAGUUAUUCUAUUCUGAUUCAUGGUCUUAUAAAAGCAGGCUUUGCAUGCGAAACAUACGAGUUAUUUUAUACAAUGAAGGAAAGAGGGUGUAUUCUUGACACCCUUGCUUAUAACACGGUAAUUGAUGGAUUCUGUAAAUCAGGAAAGGUCAAUAAAGCUUAUCAACUGCUGGAGGAAAUGAAGGUGAAGGGUCAUGAACCUACUGUUGUCACUUAUGGUAGUGUUAUUGAUGGGCUUGCAAAGAUUGACAGGCUUGAUGAAGCUUACAUGCUUUUUGAAGAAGCAAAAUCCACAGGUGUGGAGUUAAAUGUGGUGGUUUACAGUAGCCUUGUAGAUGGGUUCGGGAAGGUGGGUAGAAUUGAUGAAGCAUAUCUGAUUAUGGAAGAAUUGAUGCAAAAAGGCUUGACGCCGAACACUUAUACUUGGAACUGCUUGAUUGAUGCUCUCGUGAAGGCUGAAGAAGUAGAUGAAGCUCUUGUCUGCUUUAAUUCGAUGAAAAACUUGAAUUGCAGUCCAGACUCAAUAACUUACAGCAUUCUCAUAAAUGGGCUUUGUAGGGUGCAAAAAUUCAAUAAAGCCUUUGUUUUUUGGCAGGAAAUGCAGAAGCAAGGUCUAAAACCCAAACUGAUUACUUAUACCACUAUGAUAUCUGGGCUUGCAAAGGCCGGAAAUAUACUAGAAGCUGAUAAACUCUUUGAAAGGUUCAAGGCAAAUGGAGGUGUACCUGAUUCAGCCUGUUAUAAUACUAUGAUAGAAGGGUUAAGCAUUUCAAAUAGGGCAUUGGAAGCUUACCAACUAUUUGAAGAGACUAGGUUAAGAGGUUGCAACAUAUACACAAAAACAUGUAUUGUUCUUAUGGACUCUCUGCAUAAGGCUGAAUGUCUUGAGCAGGCAGCAAUCGUGGGUGUUAUUCUGCGGGAAACAGCAAAGGCACAGCAUGCAUCUAGAUCAUUGUAACAAUGGAUUGGUUACUGUUAUUAGCGACUGAUCACAAUCUGAUGUGUAGUUUUUAUGUGUUUAUUUCUUUGAAUAGGUCAAUUUUCAUUACUGUAAACAAGGCUACAAAAGUGUGGAGUUAGUGGAGCAAAUGCCCCAAAAAGAUCAAACUGCCAUAUUCACAGCUGGAAGGAGCAAAAGAGAAGGAACAGAAGUGAAUCAAAGAACUGAGCAUAUUGAGGUCCUCGAGCAUGGAAGUCAGUAUCAGGUACUUGACAACACCUUGGCUUUCAAGUCCACAUUUCCAUGUGACUUUUGUGAACUUCCUCAGGAGGUCCCUUGUUUAAUUACAAAAGCUGAAGUUUUGUUUCCUUGAAGACAUCUAAUUUGCAAUCUGAUUGUCAGAUUUCACUUUUGUUUCUUAAUUGUUUUCCAAUAAAUCUUAAUAUGGGGCCAUGAUAGAAAAUUAUUUACAGUUUUCCAUGGACACAAUGUUGACUAAUAGGUGGUUGAGGGAGUAGUCAUGUUCUUUGCUCCUGAGUAAUCACAGCAUUCUGGGUGUAUCCUCUUGUUGUCAAUGGCCAAAGUACUCUUAAGAAAACAUAGGUAAGCUUUCAUUCUUUUCCUUCAAGUAAAUCGUGUUGCUUGUUCUUGAUUGCACUGUCAUAUUGAAUUUUGCAUUUCAAUGGAUAAAUUUGAAUGUGAGAAACAUUUGUUUAGUGUGUCCUGAGAGGAGAGCAAGGAAAAGAAUAGAUGCCAACAUUUGUACCUUUUUUUUUUGUAAUGUAUACUUUGAAGAGAUCUAAUUAAUUGCGUUUUUGUGUGUGACAGAUUUUCAAAGACAUUGACAGGUAAUGAGAAACUUUGUGCGGUAUCUACUGAAAACUUUAUGCCAAGAAUCACUUAAAAGACUCGAUGAGUAAUUAUAAUUUGAAAGAAGAAUACUACAGUCUAGACAGUGGGGAAUUGACAUCUGCUCUUCAAUAAAGUUUGCUCAAGUUUGACAGGAAAAGGGAUGGUUGUUUCAGUAUUACAAAAAAUUAACAAGUAAUAUUGUGAAGGUUUUGCUUAUAAAAUUAUGAAGUCAUGGUAGUGAAUGAUUGGAUGCUUGUGAAAGCCAAUUAGAUGUAGAGUUUUCUAAGUUGCAAUAAGAUUGUUUAUGCUUUAUCAGAUACUUUGGUAAGUUUGAAGGUAAGGUCAGAAGCAGAUGACUCUGUCAAAUGGAGAUGAGAGACUACUGAAUUUAUGACUGUUCAAGAUCUGUGUGGUCUUGUCAAAGCAUUUAUAUAUCAACAGCUUAGGAGGAAAGUCUUUAAAAAUGUAGUAUAAAGUGGGAAUGGGGUUGCAAAAGGAUAGUCGUCUCUCAUGUGCCACUCAUGCAUCUUAUUUUUUUUGGCAUUUCUUACCAAAUAACGUGUUUCCAGAUUUUUAGGUAUUUGGUGAGAAUUUACUGGGUUCUGGCCUCAAGACAUCAAAAUCUGUCUCACUCUCUCCUCCCAAAAAUCAGUCGCAUCAUUUUCUUCUCUUCUUCUUCAGUUCUUCUUCUUCCUAAUUUCUUUUACCCCCUUGAAUCUGAUCUUCUUCUAACCAAUCUACCUAAUCAACAAACGAAAAAGUUUUUUCCUAGAGAUACUUGUACCUGCUCCGACUCUCUCUUGAAGAACAGAGGAAAAGCUGCUUAAGCUGAAUUAGGAAGAUGACUAAUCCAUCUCCAUCAUCCGAUCUGAAUAAUUUGUAAAUACAAUCACGUUUUUUCUUUCCCAGAUUUUUCCUUGACUUUAAGCACUCAAGCCAUUAUUGAUACAUGUCAGAAGGUUUCUUCACGCGAUUUCUGGUGAAAAGAUCAUAUUGGCCCUUGUGCAAUACAGCACAAUAUUACUUCAUUCCAUGAGUUUGUUCCCGACUUGUUUGUAGGAUUUAGAGUUUGCACCCUUUUUAGCAUGGUAAAUGUUUAAUGCAUUUUAAGGUGGUUUUACUCCCUAGCUGUAUUUUGCAUGGUUAAACAAAUAUAUUCCAAAAUAGGUUGGAAUUAUGAGGAGUCAACUCAAUAACUGCAUCGUUGAUCUUCUUUAAUUUGUUCCAAUUUGAAUUUGCUAAAGGAAUAGUGAAAGCUAAUAGGAUUGUUUAAAUGUACACCUUGUUUCUGGCAAAGGAAAGAUAAAUGAAGAAACUGUUUUAUGCUUUUUUCCUUAACCGUCUCUUCAGUUUAGUUUAACAGGUUUUCUUUGGUUGUAUGUAAUGUUACUUGCUUACUUUAUCUUGUAUUUAGUGUUUUAUUUCUUUUCUGUUGCUCUUGUUUUUGCCUCAGCACAGAGAACUGGCAAGGAAGGUAUGAUACUUGAAGCUGAUAAGAUGACUUUGAGUUUGAUUGUAAUAUAAAGUGGAAUAUGGUUGUCCUCUUGGGUGUCACUCAUGUGACUUCAUAGGAUAUACAAAUGAGAUUGAGAGGAAGAUGGUACUUGCAGUGUAAUCUACUGCACAAAUUAGACUUGAAGUUGUAGCUGGAUAGAGAUCAAUUGAGAAAUUUUACAAUUCAAAUUAUACAGCAAGAGAAAUUAAUGCUAAUUAUGAAUGUCAGUUGUGUUAAAAGCUGGUGCUGGAGUUUAAAAAAUUAAUCAAUUUGUUAAGUUCCAAGGAUUGAAGAUAAGUAGCAGCAGACAUGAUCAUAAUAAGGGAAUUUGUGAUAUAUAAGCUUUGGAAAGAACACAGAACAGAAGGAUGAACCCCACCUAUUAUGUUUUGGAUGAAUUUUUAAUCCAUUAUUAUAAAUAUUAACUCUGAAAUUGAUCUCUUUAGACAAAUUGAAUGCCUGUUAAUUUUAUUUAGCUAUUCUAUUUUCUAGUUUGCUAUCUUUUUAGUUGCA